This 450-nucleotide ribosomal RNA is filed under the name uncultured bacterium. Its description in RNAcentral is "partial 16S ribosomal RNA". It matches the Rfam family "Bacterial small subunit ribosomal RNA", at positions 354 to 796 of the family's 1533-position model. The record is from RNAcentral.
GUGGGGAAUUUUGGACAAUGGGCGCAAGCCUGAUCCAGCAAUGCCGCGUGCAGGAAGAAGGCCUUCGGGUUGUAAACUGCUUUUGUACGGAACGAAAAGGCUCUGGUUAAUACCUGGGGCUAAUGACGGUACCGUAAGAAUAAGCACCGGCUAACUACGUGCCAGCAGCCGCGGUAAUACGUAGGGUGCAAGCGUUAAUCGGAAUUACUGGGCGUAAAGCGUGCGCAGGCGGUUUUGUAAGACAGGCGUGAAAUCCCCGGGCUCAACCUGGGAAUGGCGCUUGUGACUGCAAGGCUGGAGUGCGGCAGAGGGGGAUGGAAUUCCGCGUGUAGCAGUGAAAUGCGUAGAUAUGCGGAGGAACACCGAUGGCGAAGGCAAUCCCCUGGGCCUGCACUGACGCUCAUGCACGAAAGCGUGGGGAGCAAACAGGAUUAGAAACCCGGGUAGUCC